ACUGAGUGCAUGUGUUGCUCCCCAAGGAGAUGCCACGGGCCCUCCAGCUGAGCACCAGCCCCAAGGAGAACUUUGGUCCUCUUUGUCCCUUUCACAGCCAAACUGGAGAUGGAAAGGAACAUCUGUCUCAACAGAGAUUGAGAAGCAUCUGGAUCUGACCUCAGAGGCAGCUGGAGUUAAGUGAAGACAAGGGAACUGCUGCCAAGGAGAGGCCAUCAAGUGAAGCCAGCACGGGAGAGGAUUCAGCCUCUUCAUGGAAAUAAUAUUUCCUCUUCUAUGUCUGCUGCACUUGGCACACAGUGGAGUCUCAUUACUCAACAGAGACUCUACGUGCCACGAAAAAUAAAUAAUUAAACUCCAGCUAUUCCAGUAGCAAAGAUUGGCUUUAUGAUAUCUGGCAUGGUACAUGGCCUGGGAGUUCCACACAAAUACUCGAGAAGGAUGAAAGGCUGUUUAGCUUCCACCAAAAGAGAGAAGAAACACACACCUGCCUCCCUGAGAUUCUCCAGCUCCACAGCUCUGAGGGCAGUGCUGCACUGGCAUUCCUAGAAACUGUGGGUAAAGGCAGAAUUUGGGGGGCCAGUGGGGCACAUCUCUGUCUGAUCAGUUUUGCUCUUGCGUCUAGAUUCUGCAGCUUCUUCUCAUCUGUGAUUUACUGUGUUUUCCCCUGAAAAUAUAUCUUCCCUCACCCUGGGGAAGUGUGAGGAAAUCUCUGAGUUUUCUCUUCCACACAUGCUGUAGCUUCUACCCCAAGUACUUUCGGUGUUCGAGUAACGAUGUGAAAAAGGCCACCCCCCAAUUUGGAUGUAAGGGGAAUGACUCCAUCAGGAGUUUCAAACGAAAGCUGAUGGAGGGACAGGUUACGCCAACCAGACCUUGCGGCUCCGACUCGUGUCAGAAGUGCAUUAACCCCUGCUGAUGCCCCACAGGCACUGUGGAGACGGCGGCACACAGCCACCUGAGCUGCUGGCAGGGAAAGCCUUUGUGCAGCUGGAGGGGCGCUGCCAGCGGGCCAGGGGCCGGCUCCCGGCAGCACCCUCUGUGCCCCAGUGCCACGUACCUCUGCCUUGCUUUGGCGAGGACGGCCGUCACCUGGUCCUUUGCAAUGAGGACCUGGCUUCCAGAUUUUUAAACAUAAGGGAGGGGAAUCCAGAAGGCUGACAGCAAAACAGUGAUGAAGAUUCAUUGCUACAAUGACCAGAGACAGAGGAUGCAGAGAAAAGCAGCUUCACAUGAUUUGUGUCAGAAAGGUACCUGCUGUAAAUCAGAGCAGUUCUAAAGAUGCUGUGAUCUACAGCAGCCUCCUAAGGCAAACCAGAACCCCCAUUCAUAAGCAAUAUAUCUGUUUAUGUAAAGAGGGGAAAAUAUUACAGGUCUCACAGUGCUCUUUCCUGCCAAGGAAAAAUCUGAAGCAUUAAAUGUGCAGAGUGGCUUGGUGAAUCAAAGCUGGGCAAAGGCUUUAAAUGCGCCACGUGUUCCUUGCUGGAGCUCCGUUGCUGGCAGCUGAUGGCAGUUCACUACUGGCUCUGGACAGUGCAAAAAGCACUCUCAAUGACAGCGAGGGAAGAGGAGAAAAACCCUCCCCUUCCUUAAAACUGGAUUGAGGAAAUGGAUCCUUAACAUGGUGGACUGUGACUAGGGCCCUGCUUUUGAAACGUGAUCCACGUGUGCAAAUCCCACACAGACCAGAUGCCAAAACCGCAGUGAUUCUUUUGACAUUUCAGUUGAGAAAGAGAACAAAUGUGUUCUGUAUUCAUCUGUUCUUUUUUUUGAAACAAAACCAAUUAAAUUAACUUUGAAACAAGGGCUUUGAUUGCUAUCUCUGUGGCGUCAUCUUUACGUUGAUGUAAUUCUAUAGACUGAUGGCAUCACUGCUGAUUUGCACUGGUGUAAGAACAAUCGGGCUCUGUGUUUUCCGGGCAGCGAAGCUGCUUGUGUUUUGUGUAAAGA
Hirundo rustica (Barn swallow) is the source of this 1950-nucleotide long non-coding RNA. RefSeq lists it as uncharacterized. The transcript has 4 exons. Lineage: Eukaryota; Metazoa; Chordata; Aves; Passeriformes; Hirundinidae. The record is from RefSeq and is a predicted model, not a curated record.